Molecule: unclassified non-coding RNA, 21 nt
Filed under: Chlamydomonas reinhardtii
Lineage: Eukaryota; Viridiplantae; Chlorophyta; Chlorophyceae; Chlamydomonadales; Chlamydomonadaceae
Description: small RNA Cre_3299
Source: RNAcentral
UGGCCGCGCAACCUUUUAUCG